GAUGAACGCUAGCGGGAGGCCUAACACAUGCAAGCCGAGCGGUAUUGUUUCUUCGGCAAUGAGAGAGCGGCGUACGGGUGCGUAACACGUGUGCAACCUGCCUUUAUCUGGGGGAUAGCCUUUCGAAAGGAAGAUUAAUACUCCAUAAUAUAUUGAACGGCAUCGUUUAAUAUUGAAAGCUCCGGCGGAUAGAGAUGGGCACGCGCAAGAUUAGCUAGUUGGUGAGGUAACGGCUCACCAAGGCGAUGAUCCUUAGGGGGCCUGAGAGGGUGAUCCCCCACACUGGUACUGAGACACGGACCAGACUCCUACGGGAGGCAGCAGUGAGGAAUAUUGGUCAAUGGGUGCAAGCCUGAACCAGCCAUCCCGCGUGAAGGACGACUGCCCUAUGGGUUGUAAACUUCUUUUGUAUAGGGAUAAACCUACCCUCGAGAGGGUAGCUGAAGGUACUAUACGAAUAAGCACCGGCUAACUCCGUG
This 479-nucleotide ribosomal RNA is filed under the name uncultured bacterium. RNAcentral's name for it is "partial 16S ribosomal RNA". It matches the Rfam family "Bacterial small subunit ribosomal RNA", at positions 28 to 507 of the family's 1533-position model. The record is from RNAcentral.